Ornithodoros turicata is the source of this 1839-nucleotide long non-coding RNA. RefSeq lists it as uncharacterized. NCBI's taxonomy places the organism in Eukaryota, Metazoa, Arthropoda, Arachnida, Ixodida, Argasidae. The record is from RefSeq and is a predicted model, not a curated record. The transcript has 3 exons.
UGGCACGUCACCCUGGGGAGAAAAGUGUAAUUUUCCCGCCGCCGUGGUACACUCGGAUGUAUCUCACACGCGCACCGAACGAGACAUCCUAUUUUGUUCAUCGAAUAACAGGUGACCAUGAAGCUCUGUGUCCUGCUCGUCGGGACGGUGUUGCUGUUGGCAAAACCGUCGUGGGAACAAGCGCCUGGUGUGCAACAGUUCGUAGGCCAGUUCCACGAUAAAUACGGGAAGGAGCCGGACUACUCCUUCUUUGGAUUUCCUUACCGCACCUUCAACAACCUCAACCCACUGAACGGAGCUUUCGGCAAUGGCCUCCGCAGAGGACUUGGAAACUUCGUCAACGCAGGCAGAGCAGGCCCAGGGAACGGAUUCGAUUUCGGACUUAGCACAAUCGGCAACUUAGCCGGAAGCUUCUUUGGAGGUAGCCCAGCAGGACGCGGAUCAGGAUCACGGCCAUUUGGCCUCUUCAGGCGAAGAAGGCGAUCAGUACACGUUAACUGAUGCUCAAACAACACGUUGCUGGGUUGGGAUGACUUCUCAAGAUCGUCAUUGCAUUAGUUCCGAUUGUGGGCACAUAGCGCCACGACUGGAGAUUGAAGGUCAAGGACUGGUCCCAAUCUUUAAGUCCCAAGGUCCCAACUCAUAUUCGAUGUUAUGUGGCCGAGACUAUUGAGAUCGUGUUCAUCUCGUAUUCCGGAGGUCUCUCUUAUUAAAUGUUGCACAACGGCAACGGAAAGACUCCAAACGAACGUGUGAAGGUCAGUGUGUGAAAUAUCCGAUAACCGCUUCUGUUGGCGUCCCCAUGGCUCUACGUGUGCAGCAAGAAGAAUAUGGUAACAGAAAUCGAUGCGUAUCAACAUUUUUUCUGGUACUCGUCAACAACACAUUGUAUAUUUGACGCUGUUCCUUUUGCACGUGUAGUACACACCUGUGUCAUGACUCCACGACCUGGCAGCCAUGCCCAAUUGUGUCAACAAGUAACGCACUCAGAUGAGUAAAGUUUUGUGACUAACGAGGAUGAUCAUAAUGAUGAUGAUGAUGAUGAUGAGAACAACAGCAGCAACAAAUACUUGGAAGGGAAUUGCAGUGUCGACAACUGCAGAAAUUUGUCUCUCAUCUUGUGGCUCGCUAUUUCAUCAAUUAUGAUGAUCAGAAGCGCAUUCACACGUAGUCUACGUAUAUGCCUGUCUUGUCCACUUGUCCUCUGUAUUUGCCCUCGCCUGUGCUCUUCUUCCUUUGUAAACCUAAUGCACCGCCCAUCGUGCCCAUCAUGCAAAGUGUGUUAUUGCUUCACGUACGUAUUCACUGUAUGCUAAUAUUUUACUAUUAUUGAACUCGUUGUCAGGAAAAAAUGAGACUACGGAAGUUACAUCCUAAAUAGAUAGUACAGCAUACGUGCAGGCAAGCUGGUAGAUAAAUUCCAUAGUUGAAUAAAUUCCUUAGCUUGGGCACUAGGAAGAACAAGAGACACACCCCAUGUGUGUAUCUGUCGUUCUUCGUCGUGGCCAAGCUCAGGCUUCUUCAACUAUGAGAUUACAUCUUACAUAUCUACUCCAAUUUUCUAUUUUGAUAUGACACAUUUCCUGGAUCCAUCAUAGACUUACACGAUCACCCUCGGUUUAACUCUACUUUAGCCACACUGUUUAAUGUCGUGUAACAAUUAAUUAAUGUUAUGCUAGCGGUGAAUUUCUAUGUGACUACUUUGUCACCUGUACACAUAUGUUGUGUCUGAUUAUUCUGAUCAUUUUGUUAUUAAUUUGUAUUCGUAUGCACUCACUCCCCUCUGUAAUGUCCAUGGGCCCUGAGGGUAUGUAAAUAAACUUCCCUUACUGCUCCGCU